This is a non-coding RNA of Nicotiana tabacum (common tobacco), 758 nucleotides long. The record is from RefSeq and is a predicted model, not a curated record. NCBI's taxonomy places the organism in Eukaryota, Viridiplantae, Streptophyta, Magnoliopsida, Solanales, Solanaceae.
UAUAAAAAAAUUUACAAUAUAAGAAAGGACCGUAAAGCAUGGACAUAGACAUGAUCCUGCAUGACUCAAAAUUUGAGAGAAAAACACAGUCUAAAAAAUCAGGGAACACGACACCAUUAGUACUAUAUAAUUUAUGUUUUUGUUUAAUUUAAUGUAUAGCUCGAAAUUGAUAUUUAUAAAAUGACAAAUAAUGAAAAACAUAUUUCAUCCUAGCAAUGUUAUCAGAUGGUAUAAAACCUUGCCACGGAGAAAAACCUGGUAUUUAAGUGGAGAAGGGUAGAGAGAUGAGCCCAUUGCUCUCUAAGUUUCAAAACGUGCGCUAGUGCCCCUCGUGGAUUUCUCGGUUAUCAAAAAAAACUAUCAGAUGGUAUAAUUUCAUAAUUAUUUGAGGGCUACCAAACAAUCUAAUAUAGGAAAAAUUUGAAUAUUUUGUAUGAAUCCAGGAUGGCCGGUGUGUAAUUUGAGGAUACAAGUCUGAGGAAAAAACGGGAUCUUCAUCAAAAGUAAAAAAAGAUGGUAGCCAAGUUCUGGAGCCUUCGGGGCUUGAACUGCACUUAAGAUCAGGCUUUUCUACACAACAAGAACCUGUAGCAAAUUUACCACCACAUACCCCUUUGAUUGAAGGUGGUAAUGACAGUUGCAGAAAUGCUGAAUCAGAUGAAACAAGAGAGAGGAAGGGCGGAGAAAGAACCCACAUAGAGUCUGAUGUCCAAGCUUCUGGAUUUGAGCAUGGUGAAACAAAUAGAGAGAAAAUCCAG